CUCGUCAGAGACUGCAGCAGAUCAAACAGUGAAACACACACACACACACACGCAUCUCUUAGCACCCUCACAUCUCACCAGUACCACACCACUUCAGCGCAGGAACCCGGUGAUGGGAGAGUGACGGGGAAGAAUAGCGGGGCACAUCCCUCAGCCUCGCCACAAAAAUGAAUCGUCUCGGUCCGGGGAGGGAAGACAGACUCCCUCGUCGUCUCUCUUCCCGAUAACUCCAUUUUGAAGAAGAGCUCUCGCCAACGCUUCUCUGAGCCCCACUGACGAAGAUACUCUCAUCCCUCGAGGCUCGGUGGAGUGGAAUAAGUUUACAGGAAGACAUGCUUAGGCGAUUGGGGAGCUGCGUAUAUUUAAUCCACCUGAAGAGCGAGCUGUGACCUAACCUCAGAGAGCGAUGUCAUGGAUGUCAUACUGAUGGGUGGCUGUCUCUCCCUACGUCACCUCACUCACGUCAUCGUCUGUUAUGAAACAAAGCUGCAUCUAUGAACGCAAUGUCUGAGCCUCUGUUAUGGUGGUGGUGGACAGUGCGUCAUUAAUGGGAAGGACAACUGAGCUGGGGUUACGUGCAGUGUCUUGUCCUCAGAACUGGACACCAUGUAAUCAGUGGCCUUCUUAUGAAACAUUUUAAAGAGUACUUUCAAACUCAAACUUUUCAUUGAAUCUCGUAAAUAAUGGGGCACCACUCGACAUCU
Molecule: long non-coding RNA, 704 nt
Organism: Portunus trituberculatus (swimming crab)
Lineage: Eukaryota; Metazoa; Arthropoda; Malacostraca; Decapoda; Portunidae
Exons: 3
Source: RefSeq, a predicted model, not a curated record